Molecule: ribosomal RNA, 203 nt
Filed under: uncultured bacterium
Lineage: Bacteria
Description: partial 16S ribosomal RNA
Rfam family: Bacterial small subunit ribosomal RNA
Source: RNAcentral
AGUUCGGAUUGGAGUCUGCAACCCGACUCCAUGAAGCUGGAUUCGCUAGUAAUCGCGCAUCAGCCACGGCGCGGUGAAUACGUUCCCGGGCCUUGUACACACCGCCCGUCAAGCCAUGGAAGCCGGGAGUGCCUGAAGUGCGUGACCGCAAGGAGCGACCUAAGGUAAAACCGGUGACUGGGACUAAGUCGUAACAAGGUACC